Molecule: ribosomal RNA, 479 nt
Filed under: uncultured bacterium
Lineage: Bacteria
Description: partial 16S ribosomal RNA
Rfam family: Bacterial small subunit ribosomal RNA
Source: RNAcentral
GACGAACGCUGGCGGCGUGCUUAACACAUGCAAGUCGAGCGAUGAAGUUACUUCGGUAAUGAAUUAGCGGCGAACGGGUGAGGAACACGUGAGGAAUCUGCCAUUCACUCUGGGAUAACACCGGGAAACCGGUGCUAAUACCGGAUAUAUAAAUUUUGCGGCAUCGCAGAAUUUAGAAAGUUUUCGGUGAAUGAUGACCUCGCGGCCUAUCAGCUUGUUGGUGAGGUAAUGGCUCACCAAGGCGACGACGGGUAGCCGGCCUGAGAGGGCGACCGGCCACACUGGGACUGAGACACGGCCCAGACUCCUACGGGAGGCAGCAGUGGGGAAUAUUGGGCAAUGGAGGAAACUCUGACCCAGCGACGCCGCGUGAGGGAUGAAGGCCUUCGGGUUGUAAACCUCUUUCAGUAGGGAAGAAGCGAAAGUGACGGUACCUAAAGAAGAAGCACCGGCUAACUAUGUGCCAGCCGCCGCCGUAA